GCUUGAAGACGAGCUGAG
This 18-nucleotide small RNA is filed under the name Arabidopsis thaliana (thale cress). Its description in RNAcentral is "ATSL058620". The record is from RNAcentral. Lineage: Eukaryota; Viridiplantae; Streptophyta; Magnoliopsida; Brassicales; Brassicaceae.